CGGUGUGAGGACGUCGUACGUCAUGCAGAGUUGAUGGCGGAUUAUGUUGCAUUGCGUGCGACGUCCCUACACAGC
This is a non-coding RNA of Ornithorhynchus anatinus (platypus), 75 nucleotides long. The record is from Rfam. NCBI's taxonomy places the organism in Eukaryota, Metazoa, Chordata, Mammalia, Monotremata, Ornithorhynchidae.